RNAcentral lists this ribosomal RNA (319 nucleotides) under uncultured eukaryote. Its description in RNAcentral is "partial 18S ribosomal RNA". It matches the Rfam family "Eukaryotic small subunit ribosomal RNA", at positions 1470 to 1796 of the family's 1831-position model. The record is from RNAcentral.
CCCUUAGAUGAUUUGGGCUGCACGCGCGCUACACUGACCCUAACAAUGAGCAACUGUCUGGCCUGAGAUGGCUGGGUAGCCUUUUCAACCCAUGUCAUGAUUGGGCUAGAUUUUUGUAAGUCUUGAUCUCUAACGAGGAAUCCCUAGUAUGCGUGAAUCAUCAAUCCAUGCAGAUUAUGUCCCUGCCCUUUGUACACACCGCCCGUCGCUUCUACUGAUUGGGUGAUCCGGUGAGCUGUUCGGCCAUAGCAAUGUUUCUUGAGCAGGGCAAUGAAUGUUUCGCAAACCUUGCCACUUAGAGGAAGGAGAAGUCGUAACA